UACGUAGGGUGCAAGCGUUGUCCGGAAUUAUUGGGCGUAAAGAGCUCGUAGGCGGUCUGUCGCGUCGGCUGUGAAAUCCCGGAGCUCAACUCCGGGUCUGCAGUCGAUACGGGCAAACUGGAGUACUGCAGGGGAGACUGGAAUUCCUGGUGUAGCGGUGAAAAUGCGCAGAUAUCAGGAGGAACACCGGUGGCGAAGGCGGGUCUCUGGGCAGUAACUGACGCUGAGGAGCGAAAGCGUGGGGAGCGAACAGG
Molecule: ribosomal RNA, 254 nt
Filed under: uncultured bacterium
Lineage: Bacteria
Description: partial 16S ribosomal RNA
Rfam family: Bacterial small subunit ribosomal RNA
Source: RNAcentral